RNAcentral lists this ribosomal RNA (800 nucleotides) under Nectria pseudotrichia. RNAcentral's name for it is "partial large subunit ribosomal RNA". It matches the Rfam family "Eukaryotic large subunit ribosomal RNA", at positions 81 to 912 of the family's 3401-position model. Lineage: Eukaryota; Fungi; Ascomycota; Sordariomycetes; Hypocreales; Nectriaceae. The record is from RNAcentral.
UAGUAACGGCGAGUGAAGCGGCAACAGCUCAAAUUUGAAAUCUGGCCCUCGUGGUCCGAGUUGUAAUUUGUAGAGGAUGCUUUUGGUUAGGUGCCUUCCGAGUUCCCUGGAACGGGACGCCAUAGAGGGUGAGAGCCCCGUCUGGUUGGAUACCGAGCCUCUGUAAAGCUCCUUCGACGAGUCGAGUAGUUUGGGAAUGCUGCUCUAAAUGGGAGGUAUAUGUCUUCUAAAGCUAAAUAUUGGCCAGAGACCGAUAGCGCACAAGUAGAGUGAUCGAAAGAUGAAAAGCACUUUGAAAAGAGGGUUAAAAAGUACGUGAAAUUGUUGAAAGGGAAGCGCUUGUGACCAGACUUGGGCCCGGUCAAUCAUCCAGGGUUCUCCCUGGUGCACUUGGCCGGCCCAGGCCAGCAUCAGUUUGUCGCGGGGGAUAAAGACGUUGGGAAUGUGGCUCCUCCGGGAGUGUUAUAGCCCUUCGUGUAAUACCCUGCUUCGGACUGAGGUUCGCGCAUCUGCAAGGAUGCUGGCGUAAUGGUCAUCAGCGACCCGUCUUGAAACACGGACCAAGGAGUCGUCUUCGUAUGCGAGUGUUCGGGUGUCAAACCCCUACGCGUAAUGAAAGUGAACGCAGGUGAGAGCUUCGGCGCAUCAUCGACCGAUCCUGAUGUUCUCGGAUGGAUUUGAGUAAGAGCAUACGGGGCCGGACCCGAAAGAAGGUGAACUAUGCCUGUAUAGGGUGAAGCCAGAGGAAACUCUGGUGGAGGCUCGCAGCGGUUCUGACGUGCAAAUCGAUCGUCAAAUAU